GAUGAAGAACGUAGCGAAAUGCGAUAAGUAGUGUGAAUUGCAGAAUUCAGUGAAUCAUCGAAUCUUUGAACGCACAUUGCGCCGCUCGGUAUUCCGUGGGGCAUGCCUGUUCGAGCGUCAUUUAACCCCUCAAGCCUAGCUUGGUAUUGGGUGCUUGUCCCGCCUCUCGCGCGGCGACUCACCUCAAAGUCAUUGGCAGCCCGCAUCUCGCCGGCCGUGAGCGCAGCACAGACGCGCUCUUGGCAACGACGGAUCGGCUCUCCAAAAGCUUAUUUCAACCACUGACCUCGGAUCAGGUAGGGAUACCCGCUGAACUUAAGCAUAUCAAUAAGCGGAGGA
Molecule: unclassified non-coding RNA, 339 nt
Filed under: soil metagenome
Description: partial contains 5.8S ribosomal RNA, internal transcribed spacer 2, and large subunit ribosomal RNA
Rfam family: 5.8S ribosomal RNA (bases 1-120)
Source: RNAcentral